GUUCCGAUUUUGGGGCAAAAAGUGCAGAUUUGGGGAUUUGGGGGGCGGAUUUGGGGGUAAAAAGGGCCAUUUUGGGGCAAAAAGUGCAGAUUUGGGGAUUUUGGGGUAAAAAUGGCGAUUUUGGGGCAAAAGGUUCUGAUUUUGGGGCAAAAAGUGCAGAUUUGGGGAUUUUGGGGGCGGAAUUUGGGGUAAAAUGGGCCAUUUGGGGGCAAAAAGUGCCGAUUUGGGGCCCAAAAUGGCGAUUUUGGGGCCAAAAAGUGCAGAUUUGGGGAUUUUGGGGGCGGAGUUUGGGGUAAAAAGGGCCGUUUUGGGGCAAAAAGUGCAAAUUUUGGGGCAAAAAAUGCGGAUUUGGGGCCAAAAAUGGCGAUUUUGGGGGCAAAAAGUGCAGAUUUGGGGAUUUGGGGGGCGGAGUUUGGGGUAAAAAGGGCCAUUUUGGGGGAAAAAGUGCAAAUUUUGGGGCAAAAAAUGCGGAUUUGGGGCCAAAAAUGGCGAUUUUGGGGGCAAAAAGUGCAGAUUUGGGGAUUUUGGGGGCGGAUUUUGGGGUAAAAAGGGCCGUUUUGGGGGAAAAGGUUCCAAUUUUGGGGCCAAAAAGUGCAGAUUUGGGGAUUUGGGGGGCGGAGUUUGGGGUAAAAAUGGCGAUUUUGGGGCAAAAAGUGCAGAUUUGGGUAUUUGGGGGGCGGAUUUGGAGUCAAACGAUUCCAAUUUUGGGGCAAAAAGUGCAGAUUUGGGGAUUUGGGGGGCGGAUUUUGGGGUAAAAAUGGCGAUUUUGGGGCCAAAAAGUGCAGAUUUGGGGGCAAAAAAGUGCUGAUUUGGGGGAUUUUGGGGCAAAAAUGGCGAUUUUGGGGCAAAAGGUUCCGAUUUUGGGGCCAAAAAGUGCAGAUUUGGGGAUUUUGGGGGCGGAUUUUGGGACGAAAAAGGGCCGUUUUGGGACAAAAAGUGCAGAUUUGGGGGGUUUUGGGGGCGGAUUUUGGGUCAAACGGUUCCAAUUUUGGGGCCAAAAAGUGCAGAUUUGGGGAUUUGGGGGCGGAUUUUGGGGUAAAAAUGGCGAUUUGGGGCCAAAAAGUUCCGAUUUUGGGAUUUUGGGGAGAGAUUUUGGGGCAAAAGGUUCCGAUUUGGGGGCAAAAAGUGCAGAUUUGGGGAUUUGGGGGGCGGAUUUUGGGGUAAAAAGGGCCAUUUUGGGGCCAAAAGUGCCGAUUUGGGGGGUUUUGGGGUAAAAAUGGCGAUUUUGGGGCAAAAGGUUCCGAUUUUGGGGGCAAAAAGUGCAGAUUUGCGGAUUUUGGGGGCGGAUUUUGGGGGCAAAAAGGGCCAUUUUGGGGAUUUUGGGGACAGAUUUGGGGGCAAAAAUGGCGAUUUUGGGGCAAAAGGUUCCGAUUUUGGGGCCAAAAAGUGCAGAUUUGGGGAUUUUGGGGGCGGAUUUUGGGGUAAAAAUGGCGAUUUUGGGGCAAAAAGUGCAGAUUUGGGGAUUUUGGGGGCGGAUUUUGGGCUAAAAAGGGCCAUUUGGGGGCAAAAAGUGCCGAUUUGGGGGUUUUGGGGAGAGAUUUUGGGGCAAAAAGUUCCAAUUUGGGGAUUUUGGGGACAGUUUUGGGGGGAAAAAUGGCGAUUUUGGGGGUUUUGGGGAGAGAUUUUAGGGGCAAAAAUGGCGAUUUUGGUGGCAAAAAGUGCAGAUUUGGGGAUUUUGGGGGCGGAAUUUGGGGUAAAAAGGGCCAUUUUGGGGCAAAAAGUGCCGAUUUGGGGUUUUGGGGAGAGAUUUUGGGGCAAAAAGUUCCAAUUUGGGGAUUUUGGGGACAGUUUUGGGGGGGGAAAUGGCGAUUUUGGGGCAAAAGGUUCCGAUUUUGGGGGGGGGAAAUGCGGAUUUGGGGCCAAAAAUGGCGAUUUUGGGGGUUUUGGGGAGAGAUUUUGGGUGGAAAAAUGGCGAUUUUGGGGGCAAAAAGUGCAAAUUUGGGGAUUUUGGGGGCGGAUUUUUGGGGUAAAAAGGGCCAUUUUGGGGCCAAAAAGUGCCGAUUUGGGGGGUUUGGGGGUAAAAAUGGCGAUUUUGGGGCAAAAGGUUCCGAUUUUGGGGGCAAAAAUGGUGAUUUUGGGACAAAAGGUUCCGAUUUUGGGGCAAAAAGUGCAGAUUUGGGGAUUUUGGGGGCGGAUUUUGGGGUCAAAAGGGCCAUUUUGGGGGCAAAAAGUGCAGAUUUGGGGAUUUGGGGGGCGGAUUUUGGAUGGAAAAAUGGCGAUUUUGGGGCAAAAAGUUCAAAUUUGAGGCAAAAAAAGUUUUGGUUUGAGGCCCAAUAAUGGCGAUUUUGGGGCAAAAGUUCCGAUUUUGGGGACUGUGAAGCGCCACGUUUUGUUUUUGGAAUUCUUUCGACGUAAUUUGAGUUAAUUUGGGUUAAUUACUGUCUCAUUUUGUUAAUAAAUACACCUAAUUAUUACAAAUGGCGCCGCGUCGUUUCCAUGGCAACAGCGUGU
This 2451-nucleotide long non-coding RNA is filed under the name Gallus gallus (chicken). RNAcentral's name for it is "lncRNA (ENSGALG00010000305.1)". Lineage: Eukaryota; Metazoa; Chordata; Aves; Galliformes; Phasianidae. The record is from RNAcentral.